Sarcophilus harrisii (Tasmanian devil) is the source of this 209-nucleotide small nucleolar RNA. Its record names the gene SNORA74. It matches the Rfam family "Small nucleolar RNA SNORA74". Rfam says of the family: U19 belongs to the H/ACA class of snoRNAs. snoRNAs bind a number of proteins (including dyskerin, Gar1p and Nop10p in the case of the H/ACA class) to form snoRNP complexes. This class are thought to guide the sites of modification of uridines to pseudouridines by forming direct base pairing interactions with substrate RNAs. Lineage: Eukaryota; Metazoa; Chordata; Mammalia; Dasyuromorphia; Dasyuridae. The record is from Ensembl.
UCCAGUGGUAGUCAGCUAUCCAGGACAUUGCCAUUCCUGUGAUAGUGUUACACUACUGGUAGAUUAAUAGUCUGUCCUCUUGAUCUGGUCCCUAUUUUCACUGUUCUAGUGAUUUCUGGUAUCAGAAUAAACAGAAGGAAACUGUGCUUCCUCAAGAGUGUACUGAGCAGUCAUUUUGACUAUUCAUUGUUAGCACGGAAGCAAACAAA